This 26-nucleotide non-coding RNA is filed under the name Rattus norvegicus (Norway rat). Lineage: Eukaryota; Metazoa; Chordata; Mammalia; Rodentia; Muridae. The record is from RNAcentral.
UGAGCAAAAGUCUAUAGUUUCCCGUA